AUACGUAGGUGGCAAGCGUUGUCCGGAAUCAUUGGGCGUAAAGAGCGCGUAGGUGGCUUGUCAGGUCUGAUGUGAAAUUUCGGGGCUCAACUCCGAACCUGCAUCGGAAACCGGCUUGCUAGAGUCUGGGAGAGGAGAGUGGAAUUCCUGGUGUAGCGGUGAAAUGCGUAGAUAUCAGGAGGAACACCGGUAGCGAAGGCGGCUCUCUGGAACAGUACUGACGCUGAGGCGCGAAAGCUAGGGGAGCGAACAGGAUUAGAUACCCUGGUAGUCCUAGCCGUAAACGAUGGACACUAGGUGUCGGGGGUGUCGACUCCCCCGGUGCCGAAGCUAACGCAUUAAGUGUCCCGCCUGGGGAGUACGGCCGCAAGGCUAAA
This 377-nucleotide ribosomal RNA is filed under the name uncultured bacterium. RNAcentral's name for it is "bacterial SSU rRNA". It matches the Rfam family "Bacterial small subunit ribosomal RNA", at positions 523 to 898 of the family's 1533-position model. The record is from RNAcentral.